GAUACCCGCUGAACUUAAGCAUAUCAAUAAGCGGAGGAAAAGAAACCAACCGGGAUUGCCUCAGUAACGGCGAGUGAAGCGGCAAGAGCUCAAAUUUGAAAGCUGGCUCCUUCGGGGUCCGCAUUGUAAUUUGCAGAGGAUGCUUCGGGCGCGGCCCCCGUCUAAGUGCCCUGGAACGGGCCGUCGGAGAGGGUGAGAAUCCCGUCUGGGACGGGGUGUCCGUGUCCGUGUGAAGCUCCUUCAACGAGUCGAGUUGUUUGGGAAUGCAGCUCUAAAUGGGUGGUAAAUUUCAUCUAAAGCUAAAUAUUGGCCGGAGACCGAUAGCGCACAAGUAGAGUGAUCGAAAGAUGAAAAGCACUUUGAAAAGAGAGUUAAACAGCACGUGAAAUUGUUGAAAGGGAAGCGCUUGCGACCAGACUCGCUCGCGGGGUUCAGCGGGCCUUCGGGCCCGUGUACUUCCCCGUGGGCGGGCCAGCGUCGGUUUGGGCGGCCGGUCAAAGGCCUCCGGAAUGUAGCACCCUUCGGGGUGCCUUAUAGCCGGGGGUGCAAUGCGGCCUGCCUGGACCGAGGAACGCGCUUCGGCACGGACGCUGGCAUAAUGGUCGUAAGCGACC
This 614-nucleotide ribosomal RNA is filed under the name Aspergillus janus. RNAcentral describes it as "eukaryotic LSU rRNA". It matches the Rfam family "Eukaryotic large subunit ribosomal RNA", at positions 21 to 649 of the family's 3401-position model. The record is from RNAcentral. Lineage: Eukaryota; Fungi; Ascomycota; Eurotiomycetes; Eurotiales; Aspergillaceae.